Molecule: small nucleolar RNA, 217 nt
Filed under: Amphiprion percula (orange clownfish)
Lineage: Eukaryota; Metazoa; Chordata; Actinopteri; Pomacentridae
Description: Small nucleolar RNA U3 (ENSAPEG00000005164.1)
Rfam family: Small nucleolar RNA U3
About the family: Small nucleolar RNAs (snoRNAs) are involved in the processing and modification of rRNA in the nucleolus. There are two main classes of snoRNAs: the box C/D class, and the box H/ACA class.
Source: Rfam by way of RNAcentral
AAGACUAUUCUUUCAGGAAUCAUUUCUAUAGUUUCUGAAUUGAGAAAUGUGUUUCUAAAGUGUAUGGUCUUGCCAACCAUGAUGAUGAGAUGUAAUAUUCCCUUGUGAGCAUGAAGCUGAUGGAGAUUAAUGGUUUAUCUCAUACCUUCUCUAUCAUUGAUGAUUGUUCAUUGCUUCCUGGAAGGAGCAGUAAAAGAAGGAAUAUGUUCAGAGUGGU